CCCUUAGAUGUUCUGGGCCGCACGCGUGCUACACUGAGUGGAUCAGCGGGUCAGGUUGCGCGAAAGCGUUUCCUAAUCUUUAAAUCCGCUCGUGAUGGGGAUUGACGGUUGCAAUUUUCUGUCAUGAACGAGGAAUACCUUGUAAGCGCGGGUCAUCAUCCCGCGCUGAAUACGUCCCUGCCCUUUGUACACACCGCCCGUCGCUCCUACCGAUUGAGUGCUCAGGUGAGCCAUUCGGACUUUCAUCAUGCUGGUUUCCAGUUUUGAUGAAGGAAAGUCUUGCGAACCUUAUCAUUUAGAGGAAGGAGAAGUCGUAACA
RNAcentral lists this ribosomal RNA (319 nucleotides) under uncultured eukaryote. Its description in RNAcentral is "partial 18S ribosomal RNA". It matches the Rfam family "Eukaryotic small subunit ribosomal RNA", at positions 1470 to 1796 of the family's 1831-position model. The record is from RNAcentral.